AUUAUGCUUAUGUUUUUGAACAGUAAUAAAAUCUUUUAAUCAUCUGUUCUUAUCAGUUUAAUAUCUGAUACGUCCCCCAUCGGGGGACUACAUAUUAAAUGGAUUUUUCGAACAGGGAGUCGGAAAUGGGGCUUGCUCCGUCCGCUCCACGCAUCGACCCGGUAUUGCAGUACCUCCGGGAAUGGUGCAACACUU
This 195-nucleotide small nuclear RNA is filed under the name Salmo salar (Atlantic salmon). Its description in RNAcentral is "U2 spliceosomal RNA (ENSSSAG00000109477.1, ENSSSAG00020078334.1, ENSSSAG00020078677.1, ENSSSAG00075030953.1)". It matches the Rfam family "U2 spliceosomal RNA". Rfam says of the family: U2 is a small nuclear RNA (snRNA) component of the spliceosome (involved in pre-mRNA splicing). Complementary binding between U2 snRNA (in an area lying towards the 5' end but 3' to hairpin I) and the branchpoint sequence (BPS) of the intron results the bulging out of an unpaired adenosine, on the BPS, which initiates a nucleophilic attack at the intronic 5' splice site, thus starting the first of two transesterification reactions that mediate splicing. The record is from RNAcentral. Lineage: Eukaryota; Metazoa; Chordata; Actinopteri; Salmoniformes; Salmonidae.